This 486-nucleotide ribosomal RNA is filed under the name uncultured bacterium. RNAcentral describes it as "bacterial SSU rRNA". It matches the Rfam family "Bacterial small subunit ribosomal RNA", at positions 28 to 507 of the family's 1533-position model. The record is from RNAcentral.
GAUGAACGCUAGCGGGAGGCUUAACACAUGCAAGUCGAGGGGCAGCAUAGGGUAGCAAUACUCUGAUGGCGACCGGCAAACGGGUGAGUAACGCGUAUGCAACCUACCCUGUACAGGGGGAUAACCCGGAGAAAUUCGGACUAAUAUCCCGUAAUAAUAUCCGGAGGCAUCUUUGGAUAUUUAAAGUUUCGACGGUACGGGAUGGGCAUGCGUAACAUUAGCUGGUUGGUAAGGUAACGGCUUACCAAGGCUAUGAUGUUUAGGGGUCCUGAGAGGGUGGUCCCCACACUGGUACUGAGACACGGACCAGACUCCUACGGGAGGCAGCAGUGAGGAAUAUUGGUCAAUGGGCGCAAGCCUGAACCAGCCAUCCCGCGUGCAGGAAGACGGCCCUAUGGGUUGUAAACUGCUUUUCCAGGGAGAGAAACUUACGCACGUGUUGCGUGACUGACGGUACCCUGGGAAUAAGCAUCGGCUAACUCCGUG